This 87-nucleotide non-coding RNA is filed under the name Oligella urethralis. RNAcentral's name for it is "SAH sequence". It matches the Rfam family "SAH (S-adenosyl-L-homocysteine) riboswitch aptamer". Lineage: Bacteria; Pseudomonadati; Pseudomonadota; Betaproteobacteria; Burkholderiales; Alcaligenaceae. The record is from RNAcentral. RNAcentral also lists the same sequence under 1 other name.
GCUGACGAGGGGCGUUGCGACAGAUUGAUUAUCUGCCAGGCUCGUCAGCACUAAACCAUCUUAUUAUCCUAACGGCGCUCACCAUAU